This 231-nucleotide unclassified non-coding RNA is filed under the name plant metagenome. RNAcentral describes it as "partial contains small subunit ribosomal RNA, internal transcribed spacer 1, and 5.8S ribosomal RNA". The record is from RNAcentral.
GCUCCGUUGGUGAACCAGCGGAGGGAUCAUUACUGAGUUACCGCUCUACAACCCUUUGUGAACAUACCUAACUGUUGCUUCGGCGGGCAGAGGUCCCUCGCGGAUCUCUCCCGGCAACGCCCUCACGGGCGGAGCGCCCGCCGGAGGAUACCAAACUCUAUUUUAACGACGUUUCUUCUGAGUGGCACAAGCAAAUAAUUAAAACUUUUAACAACGGAUCUCUUGGUUCUG